RNAcentral lists this long non-coding RNA (1225 nucleotides) under Nicotiana benthamiana. Its description in RNAcentral is "long non-coding RNA (NBEN_LNC034423)". The record is from RNAcentral. Lineage: Eukaryota; Viridiplantae; Streptophyta; Magnoliopsida; Solanales; Solanaceae.
AUACUAGUAUUCCUUCCUAUGGCUAUGGAUAUGGCCUUGAGUUAUACAUGUUAAUUUGUCAUACUAAGUGUUGGUGUGAAAUAUUUGCAGGAGGAAAGAAGAAUGUCCUUACCAAAGUAUCAGGUGCAUGAUGAGACUAGCCAGGUAAGUAAUAAUUACCUAAUACUAGUAUUCCUUCCUAUGGCUAUGGAUAUGGCCUUGAGUUAUACAUAUUUCCAGAUGGUUGGUGUUAGUUUCAUUUCUCAGAUUCAGUUGUUUACUAUUCUUUCAUAUUCGUAAAGCAAAUUUGUAAGUCUUUCCUUUCUCCUUCAUCUUGUUGAGAAUAGCUAGUACUCUUGCAUGAGUAUCUCAUAAUCCAUCAAUUAUACUGUAUGUUUCAACCCCAUUAAUUGAUGGGCUUCUUUAUCUUCUUUUGGCCAUUCUCCGGUUGCCAAGCAAUCCCAACAGUUUUAUGGUCAUCAAAGAUUCAAGUAUGUAUCUUCAUCAUCUUUUGCUGGUAGUUAAAGUAAUGACAUUUCUGACUACUAUGCUGCCACCCACUCAAGGAAUGUCCAACUAGCACCACACAAGAAUAAGAAAAAACGUGUAUGUAUUAGUUCUUGGAAAUUUCCUUUUCUGCUGUAGUUACAUGUUCUCCUUGAGCUUUUCUUUGACCUUAAAAUGAGUUGGGUUUGGGUGAGCAAGCAUAGACUCUACAGAUAUUUGCAAAUUACUUUGAUUAUGCUAUAGAUAUUUAUGGUCGAACAGUGGUUCAAAUUUGGCCCAGGUCAGAUUCUUUUGCAAAUUCAGAAAAAGCAGGCUAUGUUUUUUACUCGUACAUUGUGCUGAUAACCUUUGAGUUUCUAUCCUAAAAUUUCCUGUCUGUGGUUCUUUCUUUCAGAUGACUUCAAUAGAUGCGGCAAUAGACACGUGCUGAUAACCUUUGAGUUUCUAUCCUAAGAUUUCCUGCCUGUGGUUCCUUCUUUCAGAUGACUUCAAUAGAUGCGGCAAUAGACAGAAGAAUAUCAGAAAGCAGACUUGCGGGGCGCAUGGCUUUUUAGACCUGGUGAUUUUGCUCUGAGUGGCUGGGUGCUCAUGCAACAUUUUAGACCUGGUGAUUUUGCUCUGAGUGGCUGGGUGCUCAUGCAACUGUAGGAUAAUGUUCUAACUUUAAAGAAAUUUUAAUUUGAGAAGAUACUCCUUUCAUCUGGAUUCAUAGGAUGGUUUAGAUGUUGUAUUCUUUGUG